Molecule: ribosomal RNA, 360 nt
Filed under: Salmonella enterica
Lineage: Bacteria; Pseudomonadati; Pseudomonadota; Gammaproteobacteria; Enterobacterales; Enterobacteriaceae
Description: partial 23S ribosomal RNA
Rfam family: Bacterial large subunit ribosomal RNA
Source: RNAcentral
ACUCAGGUGUUGUUGGGUAGGGGAGCGUUCUGUAAGCCUGUGAAGGUGGCCUGUGAGGGUUGCUGGAGGUAUCAGAAGUGCGAAUGCUGACAUAAGUAACGAUAAAGCGGGUGAAAAGCCCGCUCGCCGGAAGACCAAGGGUUCCUGUCCAACGUUAAUCGGGGCAGGGUGAGUCGACCCCUAAGGCGAGGCCGAAAGGCGUAGUCGAUGGGAAACGGGUUAAUAUUCCCGUACUUGGUGUUACUGCGAAGGGGGGACGGAGAAGGCUAUGUUGGCCGGGCGACGGUUGUCCCGGUUUAAGCGUGUAGGUGUGUGUUCCAGGUAAAUCCGGUUCACUUUAACACUGAGGCGUGACGACGA